This is a long non-coding RNA of Oncorhynchus masou masou (cherry salmon), 370 nucleotides long. RefSeq lists it as uncharacterized. Lineage: Eukaryota; Metazoa; Chordata; Actinopteri; Salmoniformes; Salmonidae. The transcript has 3 exons. The record is from RefSeq and is a predicted model, not a curated record.
UUGCUGGUUCUGUUGAGAAUGCUCAAUGGUUGAGCAGUAUAUAUGGUUAUUAAUAUUACUGAGACUAUUUUCUUGCUUGUAAUGAAUGAUGCCAGUCUUAGUCCAUCACAAUUGUUGAAUGGUCAAGCUGCAGGGAACGAAGCAUCUACUGACAACAAUCAGGUGGCUUCACAAAAUGCAGCAUCCGAAGUGCAAUCAAACCCUCAACUGAACACAGUGAAUGAGGUGACAUCAACAAACUUUCUACCUCAACCUCCAUUACCUACAACUGGACCUCAAGGUAAAUAUAUGAACAGCGGUCUUAGGUUUCUUCAGUGUAGUUCCAAAGUUGGCAUUAUAAUGCAAAUAAAAUGUUCCAAAUAAGAAUUAU